RNAcentral lists this ribosomal RNA (236 nucleotides) under uncultured bacterium. Its description in RNAcentral is "partial 16S ribosomal RNA". It matches the Rfam family "Bacterial small subunit ribosomal RNA", at positions 118 to 347 of the family's 1533-position model. The record is from RNAcentral.
UGAGUAACCUGCCCUUAGCUCUGGGAUAAGCCUGGGAAACUGGGUCUAAUACCGGAUAUGACUCCUCAUCGCAUGGUGGGGGGUGGAAAGCUUUAUUGUGGUUUUGGAUGGACUCGCGGCCUAUCAGCUUGUUGGUGAGGUAAUGGCUCACCAAGGCGACGACGGGUAGCCGGCCUGAGAGGGUGACCGGCCACACGUGGGACUGAGACACGGCCCAGACCUCCGUACGGGAGCAG